GAGGGUAUAGCUCAGUGGUAGAGUGUGUGCUCAGCAUGCAUGAGGUCCUAGGUUCAGUCCCCAGUACCUCCA
Molecule: transfer RNA, 72 nt
Filed under: Camelus ferus (Wild Bactrian camel)
Lineage: Eukaryota; Metazoa; Chordata; Mammalia; Artiodactyla; Camelidae
Rfam family: tRNA
About the family: Transfer RNA (tRNA) molecules are approximately 80 nucleotides in length. Their secondary structure includes four short double-helical elements and three loops (D, anti-codon, and T loops).
Source: Rfam by way of RNAcentral